AGUCGAGCGGUAAGGCCUUUCGGGGUACACGAGCGGCGAACGGGUGAGUAACACGUGGGUGAUCUGCCCUGCACUUCGGGAUAAGCCUGGGAAACUGGGUCUAAUACCGGAUAUGACCUCCUAUCGCAUGGUGGGUGGUGGAAAGAUUUAUCGGUGCAGGAUGGGCCCGCGGCCUAUCAGCUUGUUGGUGGGGUAAUGGCCUACCAAGGCGACGACGGGUAGCCGACCUGAGAGGGUGACCGGCCACACUGGGACUGAGACACGGCCCAGACUCCUACGGGAGGCAGCAGUGGGGAAUAUUGCACAAUGGGCGAAAGCCUGAUGCAGCGACGCCGCGUGAGGGAUGACGGCCUUCGGGUUGUAAACCUCUUUCAGCAGGGACGAAGCGCAAGUGACGGUACCUGCAGAAGAAGCACCGGCUAACUACGUGCCAGCAGCCGCGGUAAUACGUAGGGUGCAAGCGUUGUCCGGAAUUACUGGGCGUAAAGAGUUCGUAGGCGGUUUGUCGCGUCGUUUGUGAAAACCAGCAGCUCAACUGCUGGCUUGCAGGCGAUACGGGCAGACUUGAGUACUGCAGGGGAGACUGGAAUUCCUGGUGUAGCGGUGAAAUGCGCAGAUAUCAGGAGGAACACCGGUGGCGAAGGCGGGUCUCUGGGCAGUAACUGACGCUGAGGAACGAAAGCGUGGGUAGCGAACAGGAUUAGAUACCCUGGUAGUCCACGCCGUAAACGGUGGGCGCUAGGUGUGGGUUCCUUCCACGGAAUCCGUGCCGUAGCUAACGCAUUAAGCGCCCCGCC
RNAcentral lists this ribosomal RNA (797 nucleotides) under Rhodococcus sp. THI450. Its description in RNAcentral is "bacterial SSU rRNA". It matches the Rfam family "Bacterial small subunit ribosomal RNA", at positions 60 to 873 of the family's 1533-position model. Lineage: Bacteria; Bacillati; Actinomycetota; Actinomycetes; Mycobacteriales; Nocardiaceae. The record is from RNAcentral.